Molecule: ribosomal RNA, 420 nt
Filed under: bacterium
Lineage: Bacteria
Description: partial 16S ribosomal RNA
Rfam family: Bacterial small subunit ribosomal RNA
Source: RNAcentral
UGGGGGAUAUUGCACAAUGGGCGAAAGCCUGAUGCAGCGACGCCGCGUGGGGGAUGAAGGCUUUCGGGUUGUAAGCCUCUUUCGCUAUCGAACAAGGCCCGCUUAGGGUGGGUUGAGGGUAGGUGGAGAAGAAGCGCCGGCUAACUACGUGCCAGCAGCCGCGGUAAUACGUAGGGCGCGAGCGUUGUCCGGAAUUAUUGGGCGUAAAGGGCUUGUAGGCGGCUUGUUGCGCCUGCUGUGAAAACGCGGGGCUUAACUUCGCGCGUGCAGUGGGUACGGGCAGGCUUGAGUGUGGUAGGGGUGACUGGAAUUCCAGGUGUAGCGGUGGAAUGCGCAGAUAUCUGGAGGAACACCGAUGGCGAAGGCAGGUCACUGGGCCAUUACUGACGCUGAGGAGCGAAAGCAUGGGUAGCGAACAGG